ACGCCAAACUCCGGCGCGCCGCGAGACUCGCGUCCUCGCUGUCCCCGAGGGGCCCCACCCCUUCCCGGUUCUAACCUGCGACCUGGCCAGAGGCAAGGUGAAUGGGAAGAUGGAGAUGGAUGUUGAGGGAGUUUCUCCGCGCCCGGAGCCCAUCCCCCGCUCCCAGGGGGCUGGCGGAGCCUGCCAGGCGCCGCCACAGCCGCCCCAGCCCCAGCCGCCGCCUCAGCAGCUGGCUCAGGAUGAACUGCCCGGCGAGAGUGCAGGCGCUGAGGACAGCGACGAUCCCGAGACGAGACCCAACGGCGAGAAAGGAGAGAGCAAGUAUUUCAGUGACAUCAUCCACUCAGGAGAGUUGGGGCGAGGCUGGCUGAGGUUCUCAAGGAGCUGAGUUUUGAGUUCAGGUGCUCGUGUAGCAGUGGAAUGAUGCCUCCUGACCUUUCAGACCUUUGAGACCUCUGGGCGGUCUUAGAAAUCACUUCAAGCCUCCAGUCCAGGAUACGACUGCCUAGGGGAAUUCCAGGGAAAGGUGGCAGAGAUGCCAUGGACUACAAGGUGAUGAAUACCACUAUGAGCUCACUACAAGAUCUCAAAGAUUUCAAGCCACUGGCUGUUACAAAGCAUAAAGCCACCCUUCUGGAGCAGCGGCGGGAGGCAGGCUGGGAGGAGGCCCCAAGUUUUGGCCAGACGAUAGACCACCUCCUUAGGUGUCCGGGGAGCUGCUGAAACAUAAUGAGGAAGAUGCUGCUGAUCCAAAGGAUAAAAACACAGAAACUAGAACCAAGAAGCACCUAAAGUGGACUCAUGCCCAGCAUCCCUGCAGACUGACUUUCUCUGAGCUAUAGUUCUGCAUUGGACUGUUUUUCCUUUGCUAUCACCUGCCCAACACACAAUCCUGGAUGCUUUUGAUUGGUUGGAUUUCUUUUUUUUUUUUCCUGCCUUUUCUUUUUCUUUCCUUGACCCUGGGAAUUAUAAACGAGAAAUUGCUUUAAAAAGUAUUGUUCUGUGCUAAAAUUAGCCUUGUUUAUGAACAAGUUUUAUCCCUAGGGAUUUCCUGAAUUGCAAUCCCAGAUUACCUUGUAAAUGGGGCUGUGUUGUUUGAUUUGUAUAGUACUGAUCUGUAGGUUAAAAUACGUUUCCUUUCUUUUGUUUCAUUCUUUUUUUAAAAGUCUGGAUCCAGGUAAUGGCCUGAGUCACAUUUGCUUAGCUACUGAAGCGAUCUCAAUAUGUUAUCGCUUAGAGUUGAAACAUAAUCAAACAUACGUUAUACCUGGGGCUCUUGCACACUAUUUGAUAUAUAUAUGUUACUCUACAAAGAAACACAAACCUUGUAUGUUGAAAUGUAAUUCCUGUUUGAUCCUGCAGCUAGAAUGCUAAAGAAAUUGCAAAUAUCAAAAGUGACUUCAAAUACCCUGAAUAUAAGCUAGUCAACAGUAAGUGGAUGGUUCCAGAAUACCAUAUUCUAAGACAAAGCAGGAAUUAGAGAUCAACUGACCUCAUCCAUAAUGUUGCUCAGGUCUGUCUGUGGAUCUGUCCAUUUUGGAGUAAAAAACAAGGCAUGCUUCUGUGAUUGUGUUUAUGAAAACUGUAGUAUUUCAGAUUUAUGUUUUGCAAUUGUGCCUGCCUUGCAAUAAAACACCUUCAGUUGACUCAGCAA
Long non-coding RNA from Homo sapiens (human), 1654 nucleotides. RefSeq annotates it as long independently transcribed non-coding RNA 693. The record is from RefSeq and is marked validated. Lineage: Eukaryota; Metazoa; Chordata; Mammalia; Primates; Hominidae. The transcript has 5 exons.